AAGUGGAAUUAGAGUUGGUGGAUUGAAGUGGGAAGAACCGACAAAUUAGUGUCCUGUGAAAUGUGUACAUGUAUGUCAUCAAGCUGUACGGUACAUCUAUCCAAUUUUCGUAUGACCUGAUUGCAUGCUGUACUGAUGCAGCUUUGCUCAAGGGCAGUUUUCUGUUAGUCGAGUCCAUAGAUUGUUGUAUGGUAUGGACAGAGUCCACCCUUGUAUGAAUGGUGGCAAAGUCUUGUUGUAGGGCUUUGUUGCGGAAAUCUUCAAGAAAUCAAUCAUCUGGGCUCAAAAAAACCAACCAAACAAAUACAAUAGCCAGCUUGAAUGUGACCCAAAAACUCUUCCAACACCUUGGUUGCCACAAAUCCUCUCAACA
Molecule: long non-coding RNA, 373 nt
Filed under: Olea europaea (common olive)
Lineage: Eukaryota; Viridiplantae; Streptophyta; Magnoliopsida; Lamiales; Oleaceae
Description: long non-coding RNA (OEUR_LNC014850)
Source: RNAcentral